Anolis carolinensis (green anole) is the source of this 473-nucleotide long non-coding RNA. RefSeq lists it as uncharacterized. NCBI's taxonomy places the organism in Eukaryota, Metazoa, Chordata, Lepidosauria, Squamata, Anolidae. The record is from RefSeq and is a predicted model, not a curated record. The transcript has 3 exons.
GACCUCUUCUCAUUGUUGGGUGCUUUUGUCCAAACAAAUAAGAAAUCUAGAAUCAACUGUUCACGGUUCAUUUUGCAUCACAAUGAAGAUUUACAGUUUUCUCUUCCUUGUUCUCUUCUUGAUGCUCUUUCCUAAUCCAGGAUAUACCAGAAUUUCAAGUGAAACUGAAUGUAGGAAGGCAGGGGGCCAAUGUGUUUUAACAUUUCCAAAGGGCUGCCAGUAUCCUUUGACCCCAAAGGGGAAAUGUAGUACUUGGAAAGUUUGCUGUAUAUACAUAUCACGUUAAAACCACUGGAUAUUCCAUUCCCGGAGAAGAAAAAGGCAAUCCCUGUUUUAAUACAAAUCUCUGUUCCUGCUUUAUGUUUCUGCUUGAUCUCCAAAAUUGCUCCUGAGAUUCUUUUCAGAAAAACAGAAAGUUAUUGUCAAAUCAGUUGCUUUUCCACAAUGUAAUAAAAGGAUGAAUUUUAUGAUGA